Small nuclear RNA from Erinaceus europaeus (western European hedgehog), 106 nucleotides. The record is from Ensembl. NCBI's taxonomy places the organism in Eukaryota, Metazoa, Chordata, Mammalia, Eulipotyphla, Erinaceidae.
GUCUUUUUUUGGCAACGCAUCUACCAAAAUUGGAAUGGUACAGAAUAGAUCAACAUGGCCUUUGUACAAGGUUAACUUUCAAAUUCAAAAAAGCAUGCAUUUUUUU